Molecule: ribosomal RNA, 253 nt
Filed under: uncultured bacterium
Lineage: Bacteria
Description: partial 16S ribosomal RNA
Rfam family: Bacterial small subunit ribosomal RNA
Source: RNAcentral
UACGUAGGGUCCGAGUGUUGUCCGGAAUUACUGGGCGUAAAGAGCUCGUAGGUGGUUUGUCGCGUUGUUCGUGAAAACUCACAGCUUAACUGUGGGCGUGCGGGCGAUACGGGCAGACUUGAGUACUGCAGGGGAGACUGGAAUUCCUGGUGUAGCGGUGGAAUGCGCAGAUAUCAGGAAGAACACCCGUGGCGAAAGCGGCUCUCUGGAACGGUACUGACGCUGAGACGCGAAAGCGUGGGGAGCGAACAGG